RNAcentral lists this ribosomal RNA (277 nucleotides) under uncultured eukaryote. Its description in RNAcentral is "partial 18S ribosomal RNA". It matches the Rfam family "Eukaryotic small subunit ribosomal RNA", at positions 21 to 280 of the family's 1831-position model. The record is from RNAcentral.
UAGUCAUAUGCUUGUCUCAAAGACUAAGCCAUGCAUGUCUAAGUAUAAACGUUUUGUACAGUGAGACUGCGGAUGGCUCAUUAAAUCAGUUAUAGUUUAUUUGAUGAUCUUUUACUACUUGGAUAACCGUAGUAAUUCUAGAGCUAAUACAUGCAAAAAGUCCUGACUUCGGAUUCGUUCUGAUGGAAAGGAUGUAUUUAUUAGAUUAAAAACCAAUACAGGUCACAAGCCUGUUUUAGUUGGUGAUUCAUAAUAACUGAGCGAAUCGCAUAAAAGC